GGAGGAUGCGAGCGUUAUCCGGAUUUAUUGGGUUUAAAGGGAGCGCAGACGGGUCGUUAAGUCAGCUGUGAAAGUUUGGGGCUCAACCUUAAAAUUGCAGUUGAUACUGGCGUCCUUGAGUGCGGUUGAGGUGUGCGGAAUUCGUGGUGUAGCGGUGAAAUGCUUAGAUAUCACGAAGAACUCCGAUUGCGAAGGCAGCCUGCUAAGCUGCAACUGACAUUGAGGCUCGAAAGUGUGGGUAUCAAACAGGAUUAGAUACCCUGGUAGUCCACACGGUAAACGAUGAAUACUCGCUGUUUGCGAUAUACAGCAAGCGGCCAAGCGAAAGCGUUAAGUAUUCCACCUGGGGAGU
RNAcentral lists this ribosomal RNA (352 nucleotides) under uncultured bacterium. RNAcentral's name for it is "bacterial SSU rRNA". It matches the Rfam family "Bacterial small subunit ribosomal RNA", at positions 527 to 881 of the family's 1533-position model. The record is from RNAcentral.